RNAcentral lists this transfer RNA (69 nucleotides) under Dipodomys ordii (Ord's kangaroo rat). It matches the Rfam family "tRNA". Rfam says of the family: Transfer RNA (tRNA) molecules are approximately 80 nucleotides in length. Their secondary structure includes four short double-helical elements and three loops (D, anti-codon, and T loops). Lineage: Eukaryota; Metazoa; Chordata; Mammalia; Rodentia; Heteromyidae. The record is from Rfam by way of RNAcentral.
GGGCAGGUGGCUCAGUGAUAGAGCGCUUGUCUAGCAUGCAGGAAGCUCUGGGUUCGAUUCCUCUGCACC